Molecule: non-coding RNA, 375 nt
Organism: Mesoplodon densirostris (Blainville's beaked whale)
Lineage: Eukaryota; Metazoa; Chordata; Mammalia; Artiodactyla; Ziphiidae
Source: the annotation of a RefSeq genome assembly
AUGGGGUUCCCUGCUCAGCUCCUGGGCCUCCUCGUGCUCUGGGUCCCAGGAUCCAGUGGGGAUAUUGUGCUGACCCAGACUCCACUCUCCCUGUCUGUCACCCCUGGAGACCCGGCCUCCAUCUCCUGCAGAUCCAGUCAGAGCCUCCUAGAUAGUUAUGGAAACACUUAUUUGAGUUGGUACCUGCAGAAACCAGGUCGGUCUCCACAGCUCCUGAUCUAUGGAGCUUCCAACCGGGCCUCUGGGGUCCCAGACAGGUUCACUGGCAGUGGGUCAGGGACAGAUUUCACACUAAAAAUCAGCAGGGUGGAGGCUGAGGAUGUUGGAGUUUAUUACUGCCAGCAAUAUGGUAGUUCUAUUGGCUUUCAGUUUUAA